GACGAACGCUGGCGGCGUGCUUAACACAUGCAAGUCGAACGGGCCUUGUCCCCUUUUUUUUUGGGGGUGGGGUUAGUGGCGAACGGGUGAGUAACACGUGAGUAACCUGCCCCUCACUUCUGGAUAACCGCUUGAAAGGGUGGCUAAUACGGGGUGUUCUGGCCUGCUCGCAUGGGUGGGUUUGGAAAGAUUCGACCGGUUUGGUUGUUUUGGUGGGGAUGGGCUCGCGGCCUAUCAGCUUGUUGGUGGGGUGAUGGCCUGCCAAGGCUUUGACGGGUAGCCGGCCUGAGAGGGUGGGCGGUCACACUGGGACUGAGACACGGCCCAGACUCCUACGGGAGGCAGCAGUGGGGAAUAUUGCACAAUGGGCGCAAGCCUGAUGCAGCGACGCCGCGUGAGGGAUGGAGGCCGUCGGGUUGGGAACCUCUUUCGCCAGUGAAGAAGGUCCUGCUCUUUGUGGUGGGGUUGACGGUAGCUGGGUUAAUGAAGCGCCGGCUAACUACGUG
RNAcentral lists this ribosomal RNA (506 nucleotides) under uncultured bacterium. Its description in RNAcentral is "partial 16S ribosomal RNA". It matches the Rfam family "Bacterial small subunit ribosomal RNA", at positions 28 to 507 of the family's 1533-position model. The record is from RNAcentral.